UACCAGCACCCCGAGUGGUCGGGACGAUUAUUGGGCCUAAAGCAUCCGUAGCCGGUCUUGCAAGUCUUCCGUUAAAUCCACCCGCUUAACGGAUGGGCUGCGGGGGAUACUGCAGAGCUAGGAGGCGGGAGAGGCAAACGGUACUCAGUGGGUAGGGGUAAAAUCCAUUGAUCUACUGAAGACCACCAGUGGCGAAGGCGGUUUGCCAGAACGCGCUCGACGGUGAGGGAUGAAAGCUGGGGGAGCAAACCGG
This 253-nucleotide ribosomal RNA is filed under the name uncultured bacterium. Its description in RNAcentral is "partial 16S ribosomal RNA". It matches the Rfam family "Archaeal small subunit ribosomal RNA", at positions 474 to 727 of the family's 1478-position model. The record is from RNAcentral.